Long non-coding RNA from Corvus hawaiiensis (hawaiian crow), 3865 nucleotides. RefSeq lists it as uncharacterized. The transcript is spliced from 7 exons. NCBI's taxonomy places the organism in Eukaryota, Metazoa, Chordata, Aves, Passeriformes, Corvidae. The record is from RefSeq and is a predicted model, not a curated record.
GCGGGUGCCCCGCCGUGCCGGGCACCGGAGCUGGAGCUGGGCCGGGUCCGGCCCCUGCCUCUCGGCUUCCCCAGCAGCGCGGCGCUCCGCAUUCAUGAGUCCUGAAUCAGGCCAGCCAGACUCGGGGCGUGAUUUCCUAAUGCCGAUGCAUGAUGUUUCUCAGAUAUGCUUUCGUGAUUACAAGAAAUGCCACAGCCUGAGACGCCUGUCUUCCCCACCCCAAUCCAAGCCCUAGGUAGAGAGCAGCUGGCUCCAUAAAACAGGACUCAUCUGUGUUUCUGCCGUACUAUUCUGUACAUAAAUAGAUAUAAAACACCAGAUUGCUAAAAGGGACACCUGAAGCAGUAAAUUACUAGACUCUUCCAGCUUGGGACUGUGAGGCAGAAGAGCAGAAGCCAUAACAAGUAUAUCUACCUCCAGAAUCCAGGGCCUGCCCACCCUUUCAAAUGAUAGAAGCAUCACUUACGCUGGGCUAUGGCACAGUUGUUCUCCUACAUCAGCCUGUUGCCUGCCAUUCUGAUAUGAUCUCAGAGACCCAUGAAUUAUGGUGGCUUCAGUGAGGAAUCAGACUGCCAUUGAUCAGACAAAACUGAGCUUGCAGUCUAGGGGAGAGCAGGCUGGAAGAAAGAACAGAGCUGGGACACCCCUCAAAGGCGGAGCCCAGGGGAGCAGAACCUGAUCCUCCUGACGCUGCCAGGACAACAACCAACAGCUGGUGCCUUUGCUCUCACUGUGUUACCUGCUGCCUGCCCACAGUCCCACAUCCUUUCCCAGCAGCAGCAACAGCCAGCCUGCUUUGCUUCCACGCUUGGAAAGUUCAAACUAUGCUGCACAGUUUCCAAAGAGAGCUAGAGCCAAACAGCUUUUAGCACUUUCUUCAGCAGUUUGCAAAAGAAACAUCAACAAACCAGGAGGCAGCUACCUGCCCUGCAAGAUCCCCAGCUAAAAGGGAGGGCAAGGAUGUGAGGAAAAUGAGAGAGCAGGAAACCAGAGAAAGCUUGAAAACCUCCCUGCAAGCCCAGAGGCUCCUGGCCUUUGUCACUGCCUGAACCCUGCUACCAAAUGUGUCUCAAGACAUCUGUCCUGCCCAGUGAACUCUGUCUUACGUCCUAAGUUGUUUCCCUGCUGUUUGGAGAUGCACAGUGUUGUGUAAUGUGUUGUAACAUUGGUUUCAUGUCUGUGUGGGUGUCUUUCUGGCAAGAAAAAGAAAGUUUUGAACCUCAUUCUCCCAUCUUCCUAGUUACUGUCUGCCAGACUGUUUGCUAGUGUAAGGGAGUCAGGGUGAUGGUGGUGGCUUAUUUUGCACUUGAUAGCAUAACAAAACUAAAGGAAAAAAACUCCUUCACUCAGUUCUUACUCAGAAAGCUCUUUGUUUUGUUGUGUUUCCUUUUUUUUUUUAACCUGCUAAUGAAUUAAGUCUUUUUACAAGUUCAAGUUUUGUGUAAUGAAGAAAGAUUUUAAAAUUAUGGGGUUUUCCUACUCAGUGCUGAUUAUUGCUGGUAUAGAGCUUUUGACACGUGAUUUGGAAACUAGAAGUCUGGAUUCCACUCCCCAGUUCAUAUGCAUACCUCUGAAUUGUGGAUACUUGCUUAGGUGUACAAUGUGUUGUCAUUAGGGCUGGUUUUUAGUUUAAUAGUGGUUUAACAUAUAAAGUAGAGUACUAGCAUAGACGGGAUAAAAGGACUGCUGUGACUUCUACCAAUUUGGAGUAAUUCACAUCACUUGGAAUAACUGCUGAGCCACUUCUGGCAAGGAAAAAAAUGAGCUACAGGGCUUAUAAAAAGAUUUCUGAAUAGUAAUGACUUUAUCAUUGAUGGAAACUCUUAAGAACCAUAGAGCUUUCUGCAUUUUUCCCUGAGGCAGGAUUCUCCUAGACUUCAAGUCUUUAUUUGUCUCAUCCCCACAUAGGAAGUGACGCCUACUUGGAUGCUUUACUUUUUAAUCUACCUGCUCUCUGGCUGUAGCAAUAUUAGAUAUAGAAGAAAGGUUCAUAAAUCAGCACAGUAAUUCUCAUCACCAAAAAACUGGGGCAUGGUUUUGUUUAAUGUAUAGAAUUUAAUGACAGCAUUCAAAAGAAUUUAUGAGUUUAUAAGUAAGAUUAAAUCAGUUCCAAAGACAGUGUCAGACUGUGUCCAACAGUAUCAGUAAAACAUGUAGCACUGUCAUUUCUCCAAGUGUUUUGGAGAUUCCAGCUUUAUUCUUAUGGGUGUCAGGGUCACUUUCACUCUAAGGGACAGGAAAUAUCUGCUAGGUGCUUGCAAUUUGGUCAGUAGCAUGAAUUGGGAGCAAAGAGUAGAUCCUGGCACGUUCUUGUACUGUUCUGUAGCAAAGAGGUCUUACCCCUUGGGCAGUUAAAAGCACAUUCUUAAGUUCUUAGCAGAAGCAGCUAAGAAUAAACCUGAACUUGUCAGCAGCUGGGUUAAUGGUAAGAGAUUACCUCUCAUUUUAACUGCUCCUUGGCUUUAUAGCACAGAAGAGGUUUGCCAUUCAAAGCAUCCAUAGUGCUGCAUCACAGAUCAGUUGUUCCCUUUCCAAAGACUAACAACCUAAUCAAAAGAAAAAAGACUAUGCAAAGUCAGGCAGAGCAUGAAUGUACAACCCAUCAUAAAGAUCUGACUGCUCUUCUCCUUCUUCACCUCUUUUCUUUUCGGGUGCAGUAUAUGUCUUGAUCCCUCGGCAAUGAAAAUGACUUCACACAGUGAAGGAGGCUGUUUGGCUGAUAUCAGAGGCGAUUCUAGCUUCAUGCUGUUGACACAGUCCAUUUACUGUUGAAUCCGUGCUUACACUCCAGCCAUGCUGUUGCAUCCACAUUCCUGGGCUUGGAUUUGUGCCCUUUCUGCCCACAGUCAGUGUGUGCACAUGUUGUUGGCUUGGCUGCCCACCCUUGUACCCAUGCAGCAGGAUGGCGCAGUGCCUGCUCACAGAGGUGGGAAGCCAAUUUCACAAGGGUACAGAUGAGCACUGGAAAUAGAUUUUGACUUGCAUCCUGCUCAAUGCUGCCUAUGCCAGUUCCCCAGCUGGAAGUGGCUUCUUUUCAAUGGUAACUUUAAAAAAAAAAAAUUUCUAGGCUUAAUCAGUCUGAAAGUGAAUUACUGCCAAUUAGCACUAGGAAGAUAUUCACAUUGUUUUCUUUAAGAAGGAUUUGUGAUGAGGAAUGAGCUAGUAACUGAAUGCUUAGCAACAACUUCCUCAGAUGUGACCACUGUACCUGCUGUCAUGCUGUGCCAUACAGACAGGCACAUGUCCAAUGAGUGCUGCUCCAUGGGGGGGUGGGCAGUGGAGUCAGAAACUGAAUGCUGAGCUGCCCUUUUUCAAGGAAGCAGAGGGCAAGAGAUGAGAUUUAUUGACAAGAGCCCCUAAACAUCAGGACUAAUAUUAUGGCUUAUAUCUCUGAAGAUUUGCAUCAAUAAGCACUUAAUAAAUAGUAAGUAACAGGGACCCACAGUAAUACAACAAGAAAAGAAGAGAAUUGAGCAAUCUUAAAAAGAAAGCAGGGAUGAGAAAAUGAGAAAUUAUGGUUAAUCUGUUUUUCUAAUUACAUGAGAUUGGAUCCAGACUAGAAACAUCUGCUGCUUUGAUUUUGCUGCUCCUGGGAUUCCUCAAUCCUUUCCUCCUAGGUGGGAGAUUUCAAGUGAACAGGAUCUGGCCUGAGGAAAUCCAUCAAGCUGUAUUCAUUACUUAGGUUUUCUGUUUGUGCUGAUUUAAAGAUUUGGCCAUUUUGACUUUCUUUGGAUUAGAUGAGCCCAAGGGAGAUCUCCAAAGGAAUGUGCCAUUGGUUUUCUGUUUGCAGUUUUUUAUGUGAUGCAAUUCAAUAAAACUUCCAUGCAGGCAGUCAUUAAUUGUCAAAGCCAAAAAUACCCCUAAA